UGUCGGUGUCCAACGCAUACUUCACCCUGAUUUGCCCAGAAAUCUCAGGGGACGCACCCUAAAGUGGAGUAAGCUGGAAUUGUCAACCAUAAAGACCAAGACCUCCUGCAGUCCUUUCUUCAAAGAGCUCCAGUUGGCCUUUCAGUCUGUCAUGUCCAGGCUAGCCAGUCAAGCCUAUGCAAGCACUAUGCCAGCCACGGGACUGUGGCCUACCCCCAUAAGCUGCUGAUGACCAGAUAUCUUUGCCUAAGGGAUAAAAACACAUCAGAAUCUACUGAGACAAUUCACACUUCUGCAUAAAGACACACUUUCCCAAGUCAGCAGAGUUUCUGGACCCCCCCCC
Mauremys reevesii (Reeves's turtle) is the source of this 343-nucleotide long non-coding RNA. RefSeq lists it as uncharacterized. The transcript is spliced from 3 exons. Lineage: Eukaryota; Metazoa; Chordata; Testudines; Geoemydidae. The record is from RefSeq and is a predicted model, not a curated record.